This 574-nucleotide long non-coding RNA is filed under the name Hordeum vulgare. RNAcentral describes it as "long non-coding RNA (HVUL_LNC020550)". The record is from RNAcentral. Lineage: Eukaryota; Viridiplantae; Streptophyta; Magnoliopsida; Poales; Poaceae.
CUAUAUGGGUAAGUAACUUAUAUAAUUAGUACAAAGAUGUGCGAAAGCAUCAUAUACAAAAUCAAGGAAAGAAGACAAGCGGCGGAAAAUAUCAUAAGAUUUGCAUGUAAGCCAAUAAUGCUAAUAUUUAAUAAUCACUAGAGAUUGUUAUGAGAUAUGGUUUCGCUUGCGAGUUAAAGACUACAUUGCCUUGCGUCCACUAUUUGCAAAUGAUUAAGCUCCCCACUGGAAGUGCACCUAAUGGUCUAUGGAAAAAUCAGACUUUAUAUACUAAAUGAGAGAAAACUAUACGUAAUAGAAAAAUAGAUCUAUCAGCCCAAAUGAGCGGGUCACCCUGCUAGUUUUUUUGAAACAAGUACUAUCAUUGCAUAGGUUAUCAUUUAUCCAUACAGUUGCAGUUUACCUUUUCCAUGUAGGAUAUUGUUCUUACCUGAAAUUGGUAAACCAUAUGUGUUCUUACCUCAAAGUGACAUUAUAAUGCAUUCUAGGCAUCAAAGUUUACAACUGUUAAAAUAGAUGGAACAAUUAACUUUUCUCAGGGAUAUUUGACAAAGCAGGACGCAUUCUCCAUUAU